ACGCUGGCGGCAGGCCUAACACAUGCAAGUCGAGCGGUAGAGAGAAGCUUGCUUCUCUUGAGAGCGGCGGACGGGUGAGUAAUGCCUAGGAAUCUGCCUGGUAGUGGGGGAUAACGUUCGGAAACGGACGCUAAUACCGCAUACGUCCUACGGGAGAAAGCAGGGGACCUUCGGGCCUUGCGCUAUCAGAUGAGCCUAGGUCGGAUUAGCUAGUUGGUGAGGUAAUGGCUCACCAAGGCGACGAUCCGUAACUGGUCUGAGAGGAUGAUCAGUCACACUGGAACUGAGACACGGUCCAGACUCCUACGGGAGGCAGCAGUGGGGAAUAUUGGACAAUGGGCGAAAGCCUGAUCCAGCCAUGCCGCGUGUGUGAAGAAGGUCUUCGGAUUGUAAAGCACUUUAAGUUGGGAGGAAGGGCAGUAGACUAAUACUCUGCUGUUUUGACGUUACCGACAGAAUAAGCACCGGCUAACUCUGUGCCAGCAGCCGCGGUAAUACAGAGGGUGCAAGCGUUAAUCGGAAUUACUGGGCGUAAAGCGCGCGUAGGUGGUUUGUUAAGUUGGAUGUGAAAUCCCCGGGCUCAACCUGGGAACUGCAUUCAAAACUGACUGACUAGAGUAUGGUAGAGGGUGGUGGAAUUUCCUGUGUAGCGGUGAAAUGCGUAGAUAUAGGAAGGAACACCAGUGGCGAAGGCGACCACCUGGACUGAUACUGACACUGAGGUGCGAAAGCGUGGGG
This 738-nucleotide ribosomal RNA is filed under the name uncultured bacterium. RNAcentral's name for it is "bacterial SSU rRNA". It matches the Rfam family "Bacterial small subunit ribosomal RNA", at positions 33 to 766 of the family's 1533-position model. The record is from RNAcentral.